Molecule: long non-coding RNA, 2779 nt
Organism: Passer domesticus (house sparrow)
Lineage: Eukaryota; Metazoa; Chordata; Aves; Passeriformes; Passeridae
Exons: 2
Source: RefSeq, a predicted model, not a curated record
GCGCCGCGCUUCCCGGGCGGCGCGGGGCGGCGGGAAGGGGCCCGAGGACACCGGGACGGGCAGCACCGGGACGGGCGGCACCGGGACGGGCACCGGGACACCGCUCCUGCCCGCCCCGCCCGGCUCCGAGCGGGCUGAGCGGGCGGCCUGGCCGCCGCCGCGCCUGCCCCGGCGCGCCGCUGCCCCUGCGGUGAGAGGCGGCAGGAGAAGGAGCGGGGGUUUGGAGCCGCUGGGCGCUGAGCCCCAGCGGAGCUCGCACGUUCGCAGCCCUCGCUGUCCCUGCCCGGCAGCACCCCCCACCCUGGAAAUCUCCGUAGCCAUCGAGAAAUGAUCCGUGAUGUUGCAGCACAAGAGUAGCCCUACGUUCAUCCUUGAACACCCGCUCUGCUGGUUCUCCUGACAUUUGUCUUUUUGUUACUUUUUGUCACUAUUUUGUUACAAAAAGUUGACUCUACUACUUUCCGUCAAAAUAGAACAGAAAGCUCGCCAAAAGAGUUAUCGGAGCCAGUGGACAGUCAAAAUAAAAAUGGAUUAUUCAAAGAAGAUAAGGUUCUGGAGAAAAAUUAAAUUAAUAUUUUGCUCUGUGCUCAUUGCAGAGGAACCUAAGAAUAUUCCUGUACUUAUACUUGAUUUUGUGAAAGAUCUAUCAGAGGAUGUGUUUCAAGCUGAAGGUCUCUAGAAAAGGUAGUGAAACAAAUGGCUAAAAUAAAAAGCGUUGAACAAUUGGACUGCAUUAUAUUCAUCCAAGAGUUCUAAGAGAAGUCAAGACUGAAAUAGCUGAGCUGCUUGCUAAUGGUUUAUGUGUAACAUUACAUUUAGAAGGGCUUUGAUAACAGAAUCAGGGAAGAUAGUUAAUAUGUCAAUUUAAAAAAAAAAACCAAACAACAACAACAACAAAAAUACCCAACAGCCUGAAAAGUUCUGUAGAGCUGCUGAGCAGUGAGCCUGUUCUCUGUACCAGCCAAGUUAGUGAAAACCUUAAAGAGAUGAGCUAGUGGGUGCAGGGAGAAAAUGGGGUCCCAUGAGAGAUGGCAGAGCUUUUCUGAUGAGAACUCCUGGCCUCACAAAGUUUGGAGUCCUGGAGUCCCUCAGCAAAGCAUGUGGACAAGAGACAUUCAGCUGGUAUUUCCUAAUUGGGUUUCUAAAAAGUAUUCAACAAAAUCUGUGAGCAAAACCUUCUGAAGGAGCUGUAGAAUAAGAGAAGUUUCAUGUGGAUAGAUGACACUGCAUUAAAGACCGGUCUCUGUAAGAUGGAACCAAAAUAUUUCUCAGUGGAUUGAGUCAGCAUGCAAAGUUCCACAAGGAUCUGAAUUGGAGCCUGUGGACUGAGAGCAAAGGUAGUAAAACAUCACAAUACAAUGUGAGUGGGUGGUACAAUUUGAUGUACAUACAUGUAAAGUGUUUUAAAUGGGAGAUAAUAAAUUUCAGUCACACAGAAACAGCCUAGAAGCUGAAUUAUCACUUGGGAACAAGAUCCUGGCAUAAUAACAGUUCUGUGAAAACCUCAGUUCAAGGCUUGGUAAAUGAGCAAAUCGAGUGUUAGGAGAUAAGGAAUAAGAGCAAGAGACUAAAAGCAGAGAGUGUCAUUGUGGCAUGGGAUAAAUCCAUGGUGUGCCAGUGCUUUGAAUGCUGUGUACAGUUCUGAUCUUUAGAAGGACAGAGAGCAUCUUAAGAGGUUCAGAUGAGCACAUAAAUGUUAGGAAGUCUGGGACUGUUCUAGGUCAGAAGCAGGUGAGUUAACUAGGACUCUUCAGCUUCACAGACACAAGUUAGGGGAGGUUUCUUUCAGUGUAAGAAUGAUGUACAAGAAGCAAAACUCAGGGAAACGUUGAAUAAAACCAGAUUUGACAAGGUUGCUCAUUCCAUGUCGUGGGUACUCGUAGAAAACUUUUUUGCCUGAUUUUGUGGGUACAACAAGGGGUGCAGUUUUUUUGCCGUUUUUUUGUUUUGGUUUUUUUUUUUUUUUUUGAGAUGAAAACUCAAAUGAAUACAAAUAAAAGCUCAUGAGGACUAUUAAAUAAACAAAUAUACCCUUUGGCUGUGCAAGUCCUGAUUUUGAAAUUUCUGUGACCUUAGGGAAUACUGCGGUGAGGCAGCACUACACACUGAGCGCUGACUCUGUCCUAACUACUUUUUUCAAGUGGUUGCUACCAGGUAGUGUCAGAAGACUGUGGCUGAUAACAGAGAGGGGCAAAAGCUGUGCUUGAUUUCAUCAAAUAUGACUAUUUCUAUGUGGGUUUGUAGGGGUUUAGCUGAACUUUCGCUCCUUCCUGUGCUUCCGCAUUGUAAUGGCAUUUGAAUUUGUUUAAAUUACCAGAAGAUGUGAUCUCAUAUGUCCGUGCUCCUUAUCUGCUCAGAUCUUUUGCUGAUAAGGUUGUUCUUUGGAGCUGCAUCCGGGAGCCUUUCCAGGCAGAGCCAGGCUGGUGACCCAGUGAGGUGCUGAAGUGAAACCAACAACUCCCAUCCUUCUCCUUUGGAAACAGCGGAUGUCCACAAGGGACCUGGAUAUUAUAUCAACAGGAUAUCAUGGGAAAACAAAAGAAGGCUGUAACCAGCAUGUGGACAAUGUAUCUUUAUCAUUUCCAAUUAAGGAGCUCACAGGAGUUCUGUGGAGUGGUGUCCUGUCCCCUGCCACCCCGUGGCAUCUUUAGUCUGCACAACAACAGAUUUUCAGCUCUUCUUCACUGAUUAGAUUUGAGCUCUGUUUUUGUACAAAUGUUUUGUAACUUGGUCUGUUGGCCAUGGACAACCAGCUGCAACAUUAAAGGAGUAAUUUUAA